GACGAACGCUGGCGGCGUGCUUAACACAUGCAAGUCGAACGGAAAGGCCCUGCUUUUGUGGGGUGCUCGAGUGGCGAACGGGUGAGUAACACGUGAGUAACCUGCCCUUGACUUUGGGAUAACUUCAGGAAACUGGGGCUAAUACCGGAUAGGAGCUCCUGCUGCAUGGUGGGGGUUGGAAAGUUUCGGCGGUUGGGGAUGGACUCGCGGCUUAUCAGCUUGUUGGUGGGGUAGUGGCUUACCAAGGCUUUGACGGGUAGCCGGCCUGAGAGGGUGACCGGCCACAUUGGGACUGAGAUACGGCCCAGACUCCUACGGGAGGCAGCAGUGGGGAAUAUUGCACAAUGGGCGGAAGCCUGAUGCAGCAACGCCGCGUGCGGGAUGACGGCCUUCGGGUUGUAAACCGCUUUCGCCUGUGACGAAGCGUGAGUGACGGUAAUGGGUAAAGAAGUACCGGCUAGCUACGUG
RNAcentral lists this ribosomal RNA (468 nucleotides) under uncultured bacterium. Its description in RNAcentral is "partial 16S ribosomal RNA". It matches the Rfam family "Bacterial small subunit ribosomal RNA", at positions 28 to 507 of the family's 1533-position model. The record is from RNAcentral.